RNAcentral lists this ribosomal RNA (254 nucleotides) under uncultured bacterium. RNAcentral's name for it is "partial 16S ribosomal RNA". It matches the Rfam family "Bacterial small subunit ribosomal RNA", at positions 524 to 776 of the family's 1533-position model. The record is from RNAcentral.
UACGUAGGGUCCGAGCGUUGUCCGGAUUUAUUGGGCGUAAAGAGCUCGUAGGCGGCUUGGUAAGUCGGAUGUGAAAACUCGGGGCUCAACCCCGAGACGCCAUCCGAUACUGCUAUGGCUUGAGUCUGGUAGGGGAACACGGAAUUCCUGGUGUAGCGGUGAAAUGCGCAGAUAUCAGGAGGAACACCAAUGGCGAAGGCAGUGUUCUGGGCCAGUACUGACGCUGAGGAGCGAAAGCGUGGGUAGCAAACAGG